This is a long non-coding RNA of Oxyura jamaicensis (ruddy duck), 188 nucleotides long. RefSeq lists it as uncharacterized. Lineage: Eukaryota; Metazoa; Chordata; Aves; Anseriformes; Anatidae. The record is from RefSeq and is a predicted model, not a curated record. The transcript is spliced from 2 exons.
CUUCAAGUCAGUAAAAUGCCUGCCUUUAGUUUCUGUGGAAAUUCAGGCCCUAACAACUGAAGUUUCUUCUGGCUGGUGUUUCUUCUGUCUAGGAUAAUUUCAUUUCCCUUUUGAAGACUUACAAGGAUGUAUUCACACCAGAAGACAUUCUUCUCACUGAAGUACAGUUAAGCCCCACAAAGUGCCAA